This 277-nucleotide ribosomal RNA is filed under the name uncultured prokaryote. Its description in RNAcentral is "partial 16S ribosomal RNA". It matches the Rfam family "Bacterial small subunit ribosomal RNA", at positions 524 to 801 of the family's 1533-position model. The record is from RNAcentral.
UACGUAUGGGGCGAGCGUUGUCCGGAAUUAUUGGGCGUAAAGGGUGCGUAGGUGGUUUCUUAAGUCAGAGGUGAAAGGCUACGGCUCAACCGUAGUAAGCCUUUGAAACUGGGAAACUUGAGUGCAGGAGAGGAGAGUGGAAUUCCUAGUGUAGCGGUGAAAUGCGUAGAUAUUAGGAGGAACACCAGUUGCGAAGGCGGCUCUCUGGACUGUAACUGACACUGAGGCACGAAAGCGUGGGGAGCAAACAGGAUUAGAUACCCUGGUAGUCCCUGAG